This is a long non-coding RNA of Vitis vinifera (wine grape), 3063 nucleotides long. RefSeq lists it as uncharacterized. Lineage: Eukaryota; Viridiplantae; Streptophyta; Magnoliopsida; Vitales; Vitaceae. The record is from RefSeq and is a predicted model, not a curated record. The transcript is spliced from 3 exons.
UUUUCAAAAAUAAGUUGGGCGGCAAUUGGAGGUGAAGGUGAGUGAGAGUGUGAAGAGAAAGGAAAACAGAUAAAAGGGGAGAGAAUGAGAGGGAAGAUUCGAGAAGAUGAAAAACGGUCUCGAUCUCGAAAUCGGAUUUCAGAUUCAAGAAGAGAGAGAGAGAGAGCGAUAUGGGAGGGGAGAAGAUGUGAGAUAGAGAGAUCGGAAGAGAGAGAAUGAAAAUCAAGAAGACGAUGACGAACGAACUCCAUCUCCAAAUCGGCUCUUCAGAUUCAAGAAUAAUAUUUAAGGCAUUUUUAUCUUAUUCUGUGGCAGAUUUUGAGGAAAAUUCUAUUUGGAGAAGGAAAAGUGGUCAGAGAUCUAUAAUCUUUGGUUUUGAGGGGCAAUGAUGACGGUGGAAGUUAUUCCGGUACAGACGAUCGCUCAUAUUAAAGGUGAUCGUGGAAUUUUUUAUGAAUGAGGGGAUUGGGAUCCUGCGAUGGCCAGAUUUGAUGAAGGUGAAACAAUUAUGAUUCUGGUAAUUUGAUGGCUGUUGUGCUAGUGGAAUUGGUUUUGAUUCAGGGGAAUCGAUUUGAUGCAAUUAUCAAAUUUGAUAAUUGGGAAUUGAUUGCGAUUGAGUCAAUUGGGAUUUGCUGCAAUGAUCAGACUGGAUGAGGUGAAUUCAUUCCUAUCCCAUGGCCCUGUGAUGUGAUUUGGUGCCAAGAAAGAUAUUGGAAAGUAUUAAAGUUAUUUGGAUUAAUUUCUGGAUGUUUCCCUUCAUUUUUAAAAUUUUUUUUUUAUAAAAUUUAAACUGCAUUAAACUUGGCAUUUAAAUUCGUUUUAGUUAAUGGAUUAUGGAAUCUUAGCCGGGUUGGGAGAAUUUUCUCCCUUUCUUUUUUGGGAAAUCUCGACAGACGAACGGUUGCUUUCAAAAUUUUAUGUUCUUCAUUUAUUUUUUCUUUUUUCUUUGAAUUCUGAACAAUCAAAGGGUUGAUGGAUCAUUGAAAUUGAGCCAGAUUGAGAUUCAAAAUUUUAUGUUCUUUAUUUUCUUUUUUUGGUUUCUUUGAUUUCUGAGCAAUCAAAGGGUUAAUGCAAUGAUGGAUCUGAGCCAGAUUGAGAUUCAAAAUUCUCUUCUUCUUUUCGAAGGGAUUGGAAAGUAUUAAAAUUAUUUGGAUUAAUUUCUAGAUGUUUCCCUUCAAUUUUUUAUUUUAUUUUAUUUUAUUUCUAUAUUUAUUUUUAUUUUUAAUUUUUUUUUAAAUUUAAACUGCAUUAAACUAGGCAUUUAACACCUUUUGUUCGUUUUGGUUAAUGGAUUAUGGAAUCUUUGCGAGAUUGGGAGAAUUUUCUCCCCUUCUUUUUUGGGAAAUCUCGACAGACGAACGGUUGCUUUCAAAAUUUUAUGUUCUUCAUUUCUUUUUUCUUUUUUCUUUGAAUUCUGAACAAUCAAAGGGUUGAUGGAUCAUUGGAAUUGAGCCAGAUUGAGAUUCAAAAUUUUAUGUUCUUUAUUUUCAUUUUUCGUUUUUUUGAUUUCUGAGCAAUCAAAGGGUUAAUGCAAUGUUGGAUCUGAGCCUGAUUGAGCCAGAUUGAGAUUCAAAAUUCUCUUCUUCUUUUCCUUGAUUUAUCAGCAAUCAAACGAAGGGUUAUCAGAUCAUUUAAUCUCAGCCUGGUUAAGAUUAUUCCAGAAUAGUCUUGCAUAUCAGAGGCUAGAUGCGGGUAUACUUGGGAUCACCUGGGACGAAUAUUAAUAAUUUUAGCAGUAAGCAUGUGAAGCAACAGUUUGUGAUAUCAGUUAAGAUAUCAGAUGGUUCAAAUAAUGAAAUUUAUCAAGGAUGUUUAGUUGCCUAUGAUAUCAUCAAAGGUUAGGUUAUAUGAUUUGUAGUUUAUUGAAAUCAUGAACAUUAGACAUAUGGAUAUUUUAGUUGAAUUAACAAUCAUGUAUUUAUUAUUCCCAUUUGGGUAUAGGAAGGUUUCAUGAGAUGAUUAACAGGAUCUUCAAAAUAGACUAGUUGAAUUAACAAGGAUUUAGAGUGCCUUUGAGAAUGAUUCUAGAAAGCGUUUCUAGUAUUUUUAACACUUGAGUGAUAAAAAUUUAAAGUAGUAAAAUAUUAAAAACACUUUUUAGAAUCACUAUCAAACGGACUCUUAUUAGUCAUGUAAAAGGGAUUAUUAUGAUUAGAUUUUUUGUUGUCAUUAUAUAUUGAGAUGGUGGUUGAAUUGAUGAUAAUAUAGAGUAGUUAGUUGAUAAGGAUUGAAUUAUUCCUUCAUUAUCACUAAGUUUCUAUAGAUAUUGCAUGUUUGUUGAACAGGUAGGGAUUGAGACAUUUCCUUAUUAUUUUCAUCCGAUAUAUGACAUUUCACAAGUUGAAAUGCAUUAAUUUGGUUACAUUUUCUGUUUCAGUGGUAUACUGAUACGUUUAUUGGAUUGAUGAGGAUUGAAACAUUUGCUUGUUAUUCUCAUUUGAUAUAUAAGACACUCACAGAGAUGACUUAUUUUGGUUGGAGUUCCGUUUGGCUGGAUAAGUAAAAACUUUCGUAAAGCUUUCUCCGAGCAGGAAAGCCAAAACUCCUAUAGGACUUGAUGAGAUUUAUAUCUUCUUUCUGAACCUGUAACAUUUUUUGGUAUUUAUUUUCAAUAUAACAAAUUUGAAAAGCUUGAAGAUGACCAUCAAUUAAUUUCCAAGCUGAAACAUCCAUCUAGUUGUGCAUUAAGUUGCUGCAAAGACUUUUUUUUUUUUUUUUUCUGUAACUGAAACAUCCACUUAUACUCUGCUUUUCAUUAUGGCUGACUUGCUGUAACUGAACCAUCUGGUUGUUUCACAUUGAAAGGAAAAGGCAUCAACUCUUCUGAGACUUUCCUCUUAAUAAUCACUUGUUUGGCGCUGUCUUUUUUCCAUCAUCACUCCUUUGUAUUGAAGCAACUUUACUGUGCAGUUUUUGUAUUUGGUGGCCUGGAUAUAUCAUUCAAAAGUUUUCACUAUAAUGAGCUUUCGAAGCAAGAAAAGAACAGAUUGUCGAAACUGGAUAUUGAAAUUAAGAUGGUGUGUAGCAUAGAAGAAAACAAGUAAAAAUAUGGCAGGCGAAGAA